CAAACUUCGGGCCCCUCUCUCUCCCCUCCUCCCUCAUCUUUUAGGGCGGGGGCUGCUACUCUGUUCCGACCUUCUGGGCAGAGAGGCAUCAGCCAUGCCUUUUAACUGUACAAUUAUGCACAGUCCCUAAAUGUUGUUUUAAUAACAGCGUUUGAAAAAAAAGCCGCAGCGGGUCGGUGUUCAGCAGAGCCGUGAGAUGCCUGCGGCAGCUCGCUGCUUCCCUCGAACACACGCAGACACACCCCUGGGUGGGGGGGCAGCUCCCGGGUAGGGGGACGCAGUGAGCACACACUGAGCACACACUGAGCACACAGCGAGCACACAGUGAGCGCACACCUCUCUGCGCCCUCGCUCCGGGGAGACUCGUGAUGCAGAGAGCAGCGCCCGGUGGCUGCGGGGGCUGACAUGCACUGGCGUGGGAGAGGCACGGAAAGGCUGAGCAGAGGGCGCAGGGAGGCGGUGUCUCCACGCUCACUUCAGUGCAACACACCGCGGAGACGGCGGGGGCAACGCCCGACGCCUCGGGGCUGCGCGACCCUAAUGGUCCCAGUGACCGGCAGCGGUGUUGCCGGCAGAGCCCCUCAGGCACCCCGAGCUUCCCGGCUUCAGCAGCCGCACCGCUCCCUAGAGUGGUCCCCUCCCUCCUCCCGAGCCCGUCUGAAGGUGCACAAGCCUGGGGCUCGUUUCCCGUCCAAAGACUCAGUGUAAGGGGUGCUGUGAAGGAGACCCGAACACCUUCAUAUCUCAAUUUUUCUUCCUUGGAUAGGAAAUAUGUAUGUGGAAGGGAGGCGUGGGUCGAGAUCGUAAAUUUCAUUGAUUACUUACAGAUUGUACAGAAUAUAUUCAAGCUUUCAUGACAGCUUCUGGAGACAUAACGACUGGACAAUAUUGCCCGAAUAGUAUAAAGUCUCUUUAACUACUACAAAGAAAUCAGCAGGUGAUUAUAGGCUCGACUGUAUACAUAAUAGGCAUCGGAUAUCGGAGAAUAACUGUAAGCAGCGAUUCUGAGCAAGAAGAGGAAGAAUAAUGCUUCAAACUCCCAUACAAUAGCUACUCAUUGUGCUGGGCGUCUUAUUAUAAUUAGAGAUACCUGCACAGCAUUGCAAAUAUAGACGAGACACGCACAUCCUUACUCUUAAUGCCAGUAAAAUUCAUCCCUCAAAAAAUGAAGAUAGAAAGACAAAUAAAAGGGUGAUGAUGCCGAGAUGUGCCCUGCACCUCUUGAGCGCGCUAUGUGCCGGGCAGAACGAGAGCGGCUCGGUGGGGGCAUUUCGGACAAUAUUGGAGCUGCUGGCAAAGCAAUUGUCCUCUAGGUGACCAGAGAACUGACUCUGCAUAGGGAACACUGAUAAACAUAAACGAGAGUUUGGCCAAAAUGUACUGAAAUCGACAAUAGCUUGGGGAGCAUCGCACAGCUCUUGUUUCAUUUGGAGUUUUUCGUACUUGAAAUUAUUUUUACUGACUUAAGAAAAAUUGAGAAGGCACCUAAAUGAGUACAAAUGCACAUCUCUGAGACGGACUUUGUUCCUUUAAACAAAUUAUUUCCUUUUGAAAUCACUCUACCUGAGCAGAAUCAUCUUUCUCUCCUCUCACCAGCAAUCCUAGCAGACCCUAAGCCCCAGCAAAACCGAGGAGAACGCUCCUAACCACCCCCAGCCCCUCCUCUCGAUGUCGGUGCCCAUUUCACGUGAGGGCUCCCUCCAUUUCCGUUCCUUACAGGUGCUGUUUCCCCCCCGGGCUGCCGGGGCCGAGCCGAGGCAGAGGGACCCGUGAGGAUGUGCGUGGUGGUCCCGCACCGCCCGUCCCGCAGCCCCGUCCCGGCUCUUCCUGCCCGAGGGAAGCAGCAGCGGAUCCCCACCCGCUUCGCAGUGAGUUCGCCUGGCCUUGGAGUUCUCUUUGCCUCCAGGCAUAGGCUCCUGUCUAAACCGCGCCAUGAAAAUAAAACACAGAGGGAGAGAAGGAGGGGAAGUUGUGUUUCCCAAAACUGAAAGACAGUAAAAAAAGGUCGUCAAAAAUAUCCAGAUGAAGACAGUAAAGGAAGAACAUCAACAACUUUAGGGACGGGAUUCUAAGAGCGAAAAUGGUUUCAGGCUAAAAUGACAUUAAAAAUCACGAGGGCACGUUUUCUUCGCAGCGCGGCUUUCACACACGAGCAUAUAACACACAUGAGAAAACACGUUUUAAGAAUUGAACUUACCCCCGCCUGCCAAAUCCUCCCAACUUGUGGGACUGUUCCUUAGCGCUGCACACAACCUGGUCCUCCAAGCCCUGCGUUAAGCACUGCUGAUACAGUGGAACAGGAAUAAAAUUGAAAAGAAAAGUUUUUGUCAUUUAUUUUGAAAUAGAGUAAUCUCCUUCAAAUGUCUCGGAUUUCUUUACAACCCACUGGCUACGGUCCUAUAAACACCACCUGGGCAGUUUCACAAGCUUUAAAGUUUUGUGUGAGUGCGUGUGUGUAUGUGUGUGUGUGUGCGUGUGUGUGUGUGCGGGUGUGUGCGUGUGUGCAGUAAGUUGUUAUAAAGGCAUCGUUACCAUGCGGAGGUAUUAACGUGUUGCCCUGAUCUUUGGCGUUGGGGGGGAGGGGGGUUAUUUUUUGGAUUUGGGAAGUUUUUCGACACGCACCUCUUACUUUGCUUAACUUUUUAAAGAUGAGAAAAGCUGGAAGCUUUAGCUUUCGGGAGACUUUUCUCGUUAUUCA
This is a non-coding RNA of Coturnix japonica (Japanese quail), 2698 nucleotides long. The record is from RefSeq and is a predicted model, not a curated record. Lineage: Eukaryota; Metazoa; Chordata; Aves; Galliformes; Phasianidae.